CUCUACCCUCCCACCUCUACGUGGGGCGGGUGGCGGCGUAGCUACGUCGCCGGCUCAAGGGGGCCGGUUCAGGCUGGGUGAGACUCGCUGGAUCCCCGGAUCUCGGUUUCGCUUUUGCGGGCGCUCCCAUUUCCGAGACCGAGACUGCCUUGUAUUUAUUUGCUCUACUGCUCUCCAGCCGCAAUUUAGAAGUUUAUUCCCUGAGCUAGAAUCUGCCGCAGAGAAGUGGGGCUGAGAGGUUGAAGAGGCUGGAGGGACCGCAGAAUCCCUUAGCACCCUGACUGGCCCAUCCUUAGACCUAGAGGCAGGGCCACGUGGCUAGCACUCUAGGCCACGCAGAGGAGGUGCUCAACUGCUAGGAAAGCUAAUUUCCUAGUGGCACCUCGGCCCUACGUUUGACCAUCUCUAACACACCAGGACCCUUAGGAAGGGCCUCAUAGAGAUCAACUUGGACCUGUUACCGAGGGUCUGCUACUCCUCAGAGAAGUGGAGGCACUUUUACAAGAAUACUGUUACGGCCUGUAUCUAGAUGUCCCCCAAGGCCUCCUGUGGUCAUAGGUGUGGCAUUCGUAGAUGGCUGCAUCAAGGAUGUGUGAUGGUGGGAUUAAGGAUGUGCUUUUGCGAUUAAGGUUAUGAUGCUGAGGUUACAGGUGCCCCACCCUGGGUGUGGGUAGCACCAAUCAAUGGAUGGGUAUUCUGGAUGAAAUACAAAAGCUCCCUUGGUUCUGCUGCUGCUGCUGCUGCUACUUUGCUGCUUUGCUGCUUUCUGAUUGUCAUGUUAUGAACCAUUUCUCCUCUGUGAUGCCCCUCUGCCACCCUGCCUUGGGACCAGCCUGAAUCCCCUAUGAACUGAGUAUUCUCUAUUGCUCUACUGGGUCCUGUCUGCCUUGAAAAGAUCCAGCUGCUGAACUGGUAAGAAGUUGACUGCUGCUUCUGCACACAGAGCACAGGAACUGACAUGGCUGUGAGUGCUGGAUUUGCUGUACCUUGGAAUUGCUGUGAGACUUGGGCCAGUUUAUCAUCCCACCUCUACAAGGAGCUCUCCACUCCCAAAUGACAUGAAUUGAGCAACUUUUCUCCACCAUGACCUUCUUCUUCCAUGAUGUUUCUGCCUCAGAGACAGUUGACCUUGGACUGAAACCAUGAGCCAAAAUAACCUCUCCUCCUUUCAGUUGAAUGUGUCAGGUAUGUUGUCCCAAGAAAGUUGAUCAAUACAAAGGUGCUAUUUUAUUGUGGUUGUGAUUUGUAUAUCUCUAAUGAUUAACGAU
Long non-coding RNA from Fukomys damarensis (Damara mole-rat), 1268 nucleotides. RefSeq lists it as uncharacterized. The record is from RefSeq and is a predicted model, not a curated record. Lineage: Eukaryota; Metazoa; Chordata; Mammalia; Rodentia; Bathyergidae. The transcript is spliced from 3 exons.